CAGUGCUGCUGUGAACAUUGGGGUGCAUGUAUCUUUUUGAAUUAGAGUUUUUGUCUUUUCCAGAUAUAUGCCCAGGAGUGGAAUUGCUGGAUCAUAUGAUGAAAUGAUAAUGAUGUGUGGGCCUUGCUGCAAAAUAAUACAGAAUGGAGAAAAUGGAAACAUAGAAGAAAGAAGACUGAUCAUGAGUUGACAAUUGUUGAAGAGAUGGAUUCUAAAUUAAAAGCAAUUCAAACUUCUGUGAUCAUUUUCUCUUACCCAAAGGAUCAGGACAAGCACAGUGAGGCCAACUGUAAGUAUCAGUCCCUUAAACAGUCUAGAGUUCCCAGGUGAGAG
Long non-coding RNA from Camelus dromedarius (Arabian camel), 333 nucleotides. RefSeq lists it as uncharacterized. The record is from RefSeq and is a predicted model, not a curated record. NCBI's taxonomy places the organism in Eukaryota, Metazoa, Chordata, Mammalia, Artiodactyla, Camelidae. The transcript has 3 exons.